This 77-nucleotide transfer RNA is filed under the name Diaphorina citri (Asian citrus psyllid). It matches the Rfam family "tRNA". From Rfam's summary of the family: Transfer RNA (tRNA) molecules are approximately 80 nucleotides in length. Their secondary structure includes four short double-helical elements and three loops (D, anti-codon, and T loops). The record is from Rfam by way of RNAcentral. Lineage: Eukaryota; Metazoa; Arthropoda; Insecta; Hemiptera; Psyllidae.
GCUCCCAUGGCGUAUUGGUCACUGCGCUCGCCUUGCAUUACACGUGGGAGACCCGGGUUCGAUUCCCGGCGGGGUCA